Solanum lycopersicum (tomato) is the source of this 510-nucleotide long non-coding RNA. RefSeq lists it as uncharacterized. The record is from RefSeq and is a predicted model, not a curated record. NCBI's taxonomy places the organism in Eukaryota, Viridiplantae, Streptophyta, Magnoliopsida, Solanales, Solanaceae.
AUGUUUUCAAGCUUCAACUUUUAGAAGUCCAUGGAUUCUCUUUUAUUGAAGUUUUUUUACACCCUUUAGCUCUUCAACUUUCAAUUUAAGGUUUUAGCACAUAAUCGGAAACAAUCUUUCUACCUCUCAAGAUAAGGGUAUUUAUGCAAGGAUGCAAAAAUGAUGUUUAAAGAAUUCUCAUUUUAGAGAAGAUAGUGAGAGGUUUGAAAUUCACAAUUUAAUAGUGGCAAUUGAGUUAGGAAGAUCUACUUUCAGUAAGUGUAACAUUGACUUUGAUUCACCCUCGGCUCUAGCCAGUCUCCAGCACAUCAUAAUUCAGGGACCCAUGGGGGAUACUACUAUCCGUGCAUUUGUUGUGGCGCAUGACACGACCCUCAAAAUGAAGUAUUCAUUGCGGCACGCGAUACGGUCCUCAAAAUACAAUAUUCAUCGCAACGCAUGAUACAUUCCUCGAAACGCAAACGUGCCGUCGUCUUCAACUUCAACCGCAACUCUACCCAGUCUUCAUUA